AGUGAACGCUGGCGGUAGGCCUAACACAUGCAAGUCGAGCGGCAGCACAGUAAGAGCUUGCUCUUACGGGUGGCGAGUGGCGGACGGGUGAGGAAUACAUCGGAAUCUACUUUUUCGUGGGGGAUAACGUAGGGAAACUUACGCUAAUACCGCAUACGACCUACGGGUGAAAGCAGGGGAUCCUCGGACCUUGCGCGAUUGAAUGAGCCGAUGUCGGAUUAGCUAGUUGGCGGGGUAAAGGCCCACCAAGGCGACGAUCCGUAGCUGGUCUGAGAGGAUGAUCAGCCACACUGGAACUGAGACACGGUCCAGACUCCUACGGGAGGCAGCAGUGGGGAAUAUUGGACAAUGGGCGCAAGCCUGAUCCAGCCAUACCGCGUGGGUGAAGAAGGCCUUCGGGUUGUAAAGCCCUUUUGUUGGGAAAGAAAAGCAGCAGGUUAAUACCCCGCUGUUCUGACGGUACCCAAAGAAUAAGCACCGGCUAACUUCGUG
Molecule: ribosomal RNA, 492 nt
Filed under: uncultured bacterium
Lineage: Bacteria
Description: partial 16S ribosomal RNA
Rfam family: Bacterial small subunit ribosomal RNA
Source: RNAcentral